Unclassified non-coding RNA from Otolemur garnettii (small-eared galago), 113 nucleotides. It matches the Rfam family "Y RNA". Rfam says of the family: Y RNAs are components of the Ro ribonucleoprotein particle (Ro RNP), in association with Ro60 and La proteins. The Y RNAs and Ro60 and La proteins are well conserved, but the function of the Ro RNP is not known. In humans the RNA component can be one of four small RNAs -- hY1, hY3, hY4 and hY5. The record is from Ensembl. NCBI's taxonomy places the organism in Eukaryota, Metazoa, Chordata, Mammalia, Primates, Galagidae.
GGCUGGUCUGAAGGUCAUGAGUUAUCUUAGUCGAUUGUUCCCAAUCAGUCAGAGGUUCAAGUUCUUGUUUUACUCUUUCCCUCCUUCUCACCACUGCACUUGACUGGUCUAAA